RNAcentral lists this non-coding RNA (79 nucleotides) under uncultured Romboutsia sp. Its description in RNAcentral is "Cyclic di-GMP-I riboswitch". It matches the Rfam family "c-di-GMP-I riboswitch aptamer". From Rfam's summary of the family: GEMM was predicted in a large-scale screen for bacterial structured RNA regulatory elements. Lineage: Bacteria; Bacillati; Bacillota; Clostridia; Peptostreptococcales; Peptostreptococcaceae. The record is from RNAcentral.
UUACAGGCAAAGCUAGAGAAAUCUAGUGACGCAAAGCUAAAGGGGCUAAAGUACAAAUUACAAUGCCAGCCAGUUGCCG